Molecule: ribosomal RNA, 444 nt
Filed under: uncultured bacterium
Lineage: Bacteria
Description: partial 16S ribosomal RNA
Rfam family: Bacterial small subunit ribosomal RNA
Source: RNAcentral
GUGAGGAAUAUUGCGCAAUGGAGGCAACUCUGACGCAGCCAUGCCGCGUGCAGGAAGAAGGCGCUACGCGUUGUAAACUGCUUUUAACCGGGAAGAAACCCCAGGACGUGUCCUGGGUUGACGGUACCGGAGGAAUAAGCACCGGCUAACUUCGUGCCAGCAGCCGCGGUAAUACGAAGGGUGCAAGCGUUAUCCGGAUUCAUUGGGUUUAAAGGGUGCGUAGGCGGAGCGUUAAGUCAGUGGUGAAAUCCUGCAGCUUAACUGUAGACUUGCCAUUGAUACUGGCGCUCUUGAGUGCGCUUGAAGUGGGCGGAAUGUGCCGUGUAGCGGUGAAAUGCUUAGAUAUGGCACAGAACACCAAUUGCGAAGGCAGCUCACUAAGGCGAUACUGACGCUGAGGCACGAAAGCGUGGGGAUCGAACAGGAUUAGAUACCCGAGUAUCC